RNAcentral lists this ribosomal RNA (718 nucleotides) under Limosilactobacillus reuteri. RNAcentral's name for it is "bacterial SSU rRNA". It matches the Rfam family "Bacterial small subunit ribosomal RNA", at positions 54 to 731 of the family's 1533-position model. Lineage: Bacteria; Bacillati; Bacillota; Bacilli; Lactobacillales; Lactobacillaceae. The record is from RNAcentral.
CAUGCAAGUCGUACGCACUGGCCCAACUAAUUGAUGGUGCUUGCUGAAUUGACGAUGGAUCACCAGUGAGUGGCGGACGGGUGAGUAACACGUAGGUAACCUGCCCCGGAGCGGGGAAUAACAUUUGGAAACAGAUGCUAAUACCGCAUAACAACAAAAGCCGCAUGGUUUUUCUGGAAAGAUGGCUUUGGCUAUCACUCUGGGAUGGACCUGCGGUGCAUUUAGCUAGUUGGUAAGGUAACGGCUUACCCAAGGCGAUGAUGCAUAGCCGAGUUGAGAGACUGAUCGGCCACAAUGGGAACUGAGACACGGUCCAUAACUUCUACGGGAGGCAGCAGUAGGGAAUCUUCCACAAUGGGCGCAAGCUGAUGGAGCAACACCGCGUUAUUAAGAAAGGGUUUCGGCCGCUUAAACUCUGUUGUUGGAGAAGAACGUGCGUUAGAGUAACUGUUACGCAGUGACGGUAUCCAACCAGAAAGUCACGGCUAACUACGUGCCAGCAGCCGCGGUAAUACGUAGGUGGCAAGCGUUAUCCGGAUUUAUUGGGCGUAAAGCGAGCGCAGGCGGUUGCUUAGGUCUGAUGUGGAAACUCGGCUUAACCGAAGAAGUGCAUCGGAAACCGGGCGACUUGAGUGCAGAAGAGGACAGUGGAACUCCAUGUGUAGCGGUGGAAUGCGUAGAUAUAUGGAAGAACACCAGUGGCGAAGGCGGCUGUCUG